Molecule: ribosomal RNA, 253 nt
Filed under: uncultured bacterium
Lineage: Bacteria
Description: partial 16S ribosomal RNA
Rfam family: Bacterial small subunit ribosomal RNA
Source: RNAcentral
UACAGAGGAGCCAAGCGUUGUCCGGAUUGACUGGGCAUAAAGCGCACGCAGGCGGUUGCGCGCGUGGGGUGUGAAAUCUGGCCGCUUAACGGCCAGGCGCCAUCCCAUACGGCGCGACUGGAGUGAUGCAGAGGUCGAUGGAAUUGCCGGUGUAGUGGUGAAAUGCGUAGAGAUCGGCAGGAACACCCAGGGGGAAACCAGUCGACUGGGCAUCUACUGACGCUGAGGUGCGAGAGCGUGGGGAGCGAACCGG